UUAGUACCUACCGUAACAUCACACUAAAUAAAGCAGGGAAGGGAAUAUGAAUACCUAAAGCUUCUUCGGACAAGAUUAUCUCAAAAUCUUGGACAGCAAAGCUUGGAAUGAUUUUAACAGUCUAGGACCCCUUUGGUGGAAAAGAAGAAGUUACUGCACAAGUUUAGCAGAAUCUUCAGCAAUAGAAGAAACAGGAAAAGGCAUAAAGAAAGUCCUUGUCCCGGGGAGAAGAGCAUCAGCCAGAGAGUGCUAUCCCAUCCCCGCUCUGGAGCAGUAGCAUGGACACUUCUUUUUCUGUGUGUAGCUUCCCAGCAACUUGAGGGUGGCCCUGGAAUCCUUCAAGGUUAGAGGCAGAAGUCGGUCUUCCCAGCAAAGAGAUUGACACUCUUGAAGGAGAGGUCCUCCACUGUUGUCGAGGUUCCCGAAGGAGGUGUAGACAAGUGGAGUCAUGAUUCCUGUAUCAUCACCGCAGCCGUGGAGAUGGAUCUGCUGCUGUGUCGGUGGCAUCAAGGUCUGAAAGCAGCAAUAUUUUUGCCACCAGUUGUCCCUCCUGAAUGAUGGCCUUGAAGGAUUCCCAGUGAUCUCUGAAAGCUUAUCAACAGUCAUUCAGUUUAUUGAAAUUCAUGUAAUAGUAUGAUGCCGUGAGCACCUGGUAAUUGGCGAUAUGAAAUUGCAAGACUGCAGAGGAAUAUGCCUGCCAAAGAUAUCGAGGCACUUCCAUUCCCUGUUGCAGGGUGUUGCCCUGAAAUUAUGUGGUCAGCCAUGAGAGUUUACAGCAUCCACCAUGAUGGAAAUGAGUGGCAGGUGGGAGAAAAGGAACUCUGAUUCCUUUGCGCGGACAUUGUAUUUCUUGUCUGCACACUUGCACAUCAGGGCUACCAAUGCAGAGUUUUGUCACACUGUUUUAGCAGGAUCUUAGAUGGCUUCAUUGAUCAGGAGGGCAAUCUUCGAGGAGGACGAAGACUGGAGGAUAUCAGUGAGCUGGUGGUGUGUGUCUUUGACCUCCUCCAGUGGUAUGUGAAAGGUGUCUGCUAUGCUUUUUGCCAGCUUCUAGAAUAAACAGAAGUCAUCUGCCAUGGACAGUGGUGAAGGCAUGGCCGCUCUGUCUGGGAAAGAGGCGGAUAUAGGUUUAGGUGUUACCACCUCCUCCACGUCCCCUUCUUGUUCCUCUGAUUCCCAAGGCUCUGAGGUCCUAAAUGCUGUCAGUGUGUUCCCAAGGAUCUUAGUACAGCCGUUGUGAUGGCAUAGGGGUUAGCAGAAUUGCCCAUGGGUGGCCAUAACAAGAUGGCAGUGGUGCCAUCUGUGGGUAUAUUCCCAGAUCCUGUUGAUAGUGGGUCUCAUAUGGAGCUUGGGAUAAAGUACUGUGAAACCUUCUCACGCUCACUAUCUGACCGCUCACUUGACAGGGGGAUGGGCAUGAUUGCAAGAAUAUUCCCCAUGCCCGGCAAAGACUCAGUAUCAUGACAUCGGUAUCCAAGCGUGUAGAGCCAGGUACCUCCAUCAUGCUCAGGUCACCAACCUGGUGGAAUUCUGCCACUACCGAUCAUCGCAUCGUGGUGCCGGGGGAGAUGGAGACCUUCUCUGUACCAGUCUCUCCGUUUCUGGGUGGACUAUUGUCAAUGGCAGUACUGAUGUCGACUCACAUACCAGAAGCAUUUUUCUAGGGUGUUUGCCCUUAUCUCUCAGUAGAGAAAAUUUGGUGCCUCUGCCCAAAGAGUCCACGGGCCUGCCAGCAGUACAAGAUGUCAUUGUGAUGCCCGAUUGUGGUGUUGGUGCAGAUGAUACUAAGCAAGACAGCAAUUGCUUUUGCUAUCCCUAGACUCAGUGAGAGGACUUCCCAGUCUCUUUUUUGACCCACUAUCCUUCCAAGUUGAAGCCUGAGGGGAAGCCUCAUGCCCGCCAGAAAGCUGGUCGGAGAGCUGCGUCCAUAAAGAUAAUUUUUGGCCAAGCUCUCUAUCCUUACGGGAUUUUGGCUGGAGCAGAGGGAACACUUUAAUUGGCUAUGGCCCUCACCAAAACAAUGGAUGCACUGGGAGUGCUUGUCCGCAACCAAGGCCACCUUACUACAAGUGCAGCAUUUCUUGAAGCCAGGAGAACUGGUGCUUACUCAUCCAGGAGGUCUCUUUCCCCUGCAUCCAUCCAGGGAUGGACAAAGAACAAGUCACAAAGAGGCUUCAAAGGAAGCUAAAAAAUAGCAAUUGUAAAAGAAUUAAUGACACAUGAAUGGACAACUAAAGUGCCGUCUCUAGAAGGGGUAGUUGAGAAGGAACUGAGGACUGUUAACCUAUGUGCACAGAGACUAGCUUCACGGUGCAGCAAGAGGAAACACACUGCAUGUGCGGGCCAAACGGACACUGCUACUGAAGUUCUCCAAUCAGCAGCGCAGGGACACAGACAAACCUACAGUGGAGCACCCACAGGGACACUGCUCGAAGAAUCAAUUUUUCCUUUAAAUUUGUUACUUGGAACUACAUAAUCUGAAACUUCCAGAAAUUCUUAGCUUCUUAUUGACUACAAUUAUUUAUGUUCAUCACCAGCACUUUGGCCAAUUUUGUAUUAAUCAUCCAUACUAGAGGGGUUUAUGCUAUAUUUUGUUUUCUUUCAACUAUUUCUUGAAAAAGUAGGUUAUAUCAUCUGAAACAAUUUAUCUGCGGCACCAGCCUUCAUCACAGUACUUCUUUCCAUACCACUAUAUAGAAGAAUAGGCAUGAGUAAAGGGAUAAUAAUGGUUGUCACACAAUGGGAUGUCUAGUCUUGCUCCUAAUCUACUCCCAAUUUCACUUACGUUCACCAUCUACUCUGCUGCAUGCUGUGCAAAUGCUUACCCCAAUUCUGCAUGCUUAUUUCUCAAGUGGCUUAUUUGAACAGUUAUCUCUAUUAAUGUUUCUUCUCUCUACCAGAGCUUUUUCUACACAAAAAACAGACUGCUGUGCUGCUGUCCUUUGGAUUUAGGUAGAAAAAUCCAAUGGUGCUAGUAUUGGCUUUUCUUUUCAAACUGGCUGAUGCUAGUACAUGAUACUCUUGAACGUGUGUGUGUGUGUGUGUGUGUGUGUGUGUGUGUGUCACUCCACAUUCUUCCAUCAUAGCUAGCACUUCUUGCAGGUUAUUCUCUCAAGGACUCAGGAUCAUUGCCUUCUGUGAUCCUUACUUUUACCAAGCAUUCUUUACUUUACUUUGCGCUGAAAUGACCUUGCCCUAGAAAUACAGGUGGAAUCCUAAACCUUAUUCUUUAGGCUCCAAAUACAUGUUUCCUUUCCUGGCUGCUUUAACCUAUUAGUAAGAGAAUGGGAAAUCUAUAUGCACAUUUUUUUUUAACGUAUGUUGUUACCCUUGCUGCAGCUCUCUAUGUACCAUUGCUCAUCUUGCUACACAGGAGAUUAACCAAAAAAAAGUAAACAAAUCUUAGUAAAAUUCCAGUUAUCUUCUAGAAACCUGCUUGAUACUCCAUACACCUCUACUCAAGGUAUAUUGAUGCUAAGAUGCAGAGAUCCAUCAUGUAUGGGACUCAGAAGAUAUGAGUUCUGUUCAUGAUCUUCAACAGACUUCGUGUGUGAUGCUGAGCAAGGCAUUUAAAUCUUUAUGCCCCAAAACUCUAUCUGGGAAGUGAGGAUAAUACCACCGCUCUGCCUCACAAGGAUGUUGGGAUGAUAAAACCUUACAGUCUGUGAAGUGCUCAGAAGUAACUGCAGAACACAUAUUUAAAGGGACAAAAGUACGGCUUCCUUCCAAAGCUACUAACAAAGAUCCCUGUGAUAGCCUACUAUCAAUUAAAGUUACAUCUGUCUUCUAUUCUCAGCAAUAACCAUAUAUGCUCCAUCCCUCUAUAGCCCAUAAUGCAAUUACGAAGUAUAAUUCAAAUGUGGUUCUCACCACCCACCCAACCUUUUGUCCUGCAACCAAAUUACACACACACACACACACUCCUCCCCACCAUCUCAUUCCUUUGCCCACAUACAUGCAUGCUGAUUCAGUGCACACGAACUUCUAAAUACAAACCCCUAAUUAGUUGGAGGUCCUGCCCUCAUUUAACAACCAACCUCCCUCCAGAAAACUCAACACUAUCUUGCUGCUUACGGACACCAACCUCAGCAGAUGUUCAAGAAGUUGUGUUUUCUUAAGAAAACUAGAGAGCUUUAUCCUACAAUAUUUACAUACACAGAAGUCCUAGGUGCAGAAGAAACUGAUUCUCCUUUUAUGAAAUGAUUUUCUUCCUUUGCACAAUCUCACUGUAGCCCACAUACAACUCCUCCAGCCAUCACCCAUCUUUAAAUGAAAAAUAAACCAUUUUUGGUAAUAAAAUAAAAAA
Molecule: long non-coding RNA, 4306 nt
Organism: Gopherus evgoodei (Goodes thornscrub tortoise)
Lineage: Eukaryota; Metazoa; Chordata; Testudines; Testudinidae
Exons: 4
Source: RefSeq, a predicted model, not a curated record